GUCUAUUAUCUAUAUUGAUAGAAAAAAAUGCAUAACUUACAGUUAAAAGUUUGUGUUUUUCUAUUUUAGGUGGUCUUAGUUUCCAUGAGUUUCCUUGGCUAACUUCCCCAGGCAUGAUUGCACAAGACUUUUACACAUUACACCAGGAUGCAGCUCCAAAACUCUUUGAGAAAUGGCUCCCUUGAUAUACCGAUAGGAUCUUGCAUUCUUCUAAACAAGAAGCAAAGCUUCCAGGUUCAGUUGAGGAUAUGCCACAAGAUGCAAAGGGAUAUCUUGCAUUAAAGCUGCUCCCUGUUUUGCUUCCACCUCCACCCGUCAAAACUGCCAGAAAAACAGUCCGGCCCAGCAUUGAUGAUGGCAAAAAAAGCUUUCAUCAACAUUCAGCCUGUUGGAACAAAUAUGAUGGAGUACCUCCAGCAGGCUGAAGCAUCAGGACUUUACCCUUAUUUCCUGUCACUUGAAAAUGGACCCAUGAAUCCCAGGCAUUCGUCAUCCUUGGAGGAGAAACUUUGGACAAGGCACUUUGAUUGGGGUAGUAGAAGCACUACAUUCUUGCAAGUAAAUGAAAAGAGUUUUUUUUUAAUAGACUGGGUUUCGGGUACAAGAGUUAUCAUUGUUUAUUUUUUUUUACAGACUUAAGGAAGUGUAUUACUUGAUGAAUAUUAAUGACAUGUUUGUGAAAUGUUACACUAGCAAAAUGCUGUAUUUCAUAGUUUUUUUGUGUGUGUUCAUAAUGUAGACUAAAACAAUACUGCUUUGUAACAAACAGUGGUUCUUAAAAGUAUUUUAUGAAUUUCAUGAAUUUUUUAAAAUGUUAAAACAUAUAGGGGCGGUUUCACAGAGAAGGAUUAGACUAGUCCUAUAGACUAAAAUAAAUGUAAGAGCUGUCCAAACUGAAAACAACUUACACUGACAUAUCUUAAAAUACACCAGUGCCCUUUGUUUUGCCUCAAAAUGCACACAAGUAAUGUUUUUAGGAAGACAUGUUUGUUCAAACUUGUUAUAUUUCCUAAUUAAACUAAGGACUAGUCCUGGCUUAAGCCAAUCCCUGUCUGGGAAAUCACCCCUUACACUUUUGCAAUUAGAGGCAAACCAUA
Paramisgurnus dabryanus is the source of this 1097-nucleotide long non-coding RNA. RefSeq lists it as uncharacterized. NCBI's taxonomy places the organism in Eukaryota, Metazoa, Chordata, Actinopteri, Cypriniformes, Cobitidae. The record is from RefSeq and is a predicted model, not a curated record.